CAAAGGCUUGGUCCUGACUUUACUAUCAAUUUUAGCUAGACUUACACAUGCAAGUAUCCGCACACCCGUGAGAAUGCCCACAAUUUCCCGCCCCCAGGAAAAAAGGAGCUGGUAUCAGGCACAAUACUUAGCCCACGACACCUUGCUUAGCCACACCCCCAAGGGAACUCAGCAGUGACAAAUAUUAAGCCAUAAGUGAAAACUUGACUUAGUUAAAGCUAAGAGGGCCGGUAAAACUCGUGCCAGCCACCGCGGUUAUACGAGAGACCCAAAUUGAUAGAAAACGGCGUAAAGAGUGGUUAAGAGACCUAAAAACUAAGGCCGAACGCUUCCAAGGCUGUUAUACGCUCCCGAAAGUAAGAAGCACAACUACGAAAGUGGCCUUAUCAGCCUGAACCCACGAAAGCUGGGGUACAAACUGGGAUUAGAUACCCCACUAUGCCCAGCCAUAAACAUUGAUAGCACUACACACCUGCUAUCCGCCCGGGAACUACAAGCACCAGCUUAAAACCCAAAGGACUUGGCGGUGCUUAAAAUCCACCUAGAGGAGCCUGUUCUAGAACCGAUAACCCCCGUUCAACCUCACCCUCCCUUGUUAACCCCGCUUAUAUACCGCCGUCGUCAGCCUACCCCGUGAGGGUUUUAUAGUAAGCUCAAUUGGCAUAGCCCAAAACGUCAGGUCGAGGUGUAGCGUAUGAGAGGGAAAGAAAUGGGCUACAUUCCCUAAAAUAGUGAAUACGAAUUAUGUGCUGAAAUAAACAUCUAAAGGAGGAUUUAGCAGUAAAUAGAAAACAGAGUGUUCUACUGAAAUAGGCCCUAAAGCGCGCACACACCGCCCGUCACUCUCCCCAAGCCUCAAAAACCUAGAUAAAUUAAACAUUAAAACUGCUAAGGGGAGGCAAGUCGUAACAUGGUAAGUGUACCAGAAGGUGCACUUGGUAUAAU
RNAcentral lists this non-coding RNA (945 nucleotides) under Luciocephalus pulcher (pikehead). RNAcentral describes it as "12S ribosomal RNA". It matches the Rfam family "Bacterial small subunit ribosomal RNA". Lineage: Eukaryota; Metazoa; Chordata; Actinopteri; Anabantiformes; Osphronemidae. The record is from RNAcentral.